Molecule: ribosomal RNA, 1255 nt
Filed under: Microsargane sp. n. AP-2016
Lineage: Eukaryota; Metazoa; Arthropoda; Insecta; Hemiptera; Aphrophoridae
Description: SSU rRNA
Rfam family: Eukaryotic small subunit ribosomal RNA
Source: RNAcentral
CUCGUAGUUGGACCUGUGUUCCACGCUGUCGGUUCGCCGCCCGUCGGUGUUAACUGGCAUGUCCUGUGGAACGUCCUGCCGGUGGCGGUCCGGGCUCUCGGCUUGCGUAAAGGCUUAUGCCCGAAGCAGGUUGAAAAGUUCCGGCCGCCGGUCCAAUCCCGCCACGGUGCUCUUCACCGAGUGUCGAGGUGGGCCGGCACGUUUACUUUGAACAAAUUAGAGUGCUUAAAGCAGGCUGGUUUCCGCCUGAAUAUUGUGUGCAUGGAAUAAUGGAAUAGGACCUCGGUUCUAUUUUGUUGGUUUUCGGAACCCGAGGUAAUGAUUAAUAGGGACAGGCGGGGGCAUUCGUAUUGCGACGUUAGAGGUGAAAUUCUUGGAUCGUCGCAAGACGAACCUAAGCGAAAGCAUUUGCCAAGUAUGUUCUCGUUAAUCAAGAACGAAAGUUAGAGGUUCGAAGGCGAUCAGAUACCGCCCUAGUUCUAACCAUAAACGAUGCCAGCCAGCGAUCCGCCGAAGUUCCUCCGAUGACUCGGCGGGCAGCUUCCGGGAAACCAAAGCUUUUGGGUUCCGGGGGAAGUAUGGUUGCAAAGCUGAAACUUAAAGGAAUUGACGGAAGGGCACCACCAGGAGUGGAGCCUGCGGCUUAAUUUGACUCAACACGGGAAACCUCACCAGGCCCGGACACCGGAAGGAUUGACAGAUUGAGAGCUCUUUCUUGAUUCGGUGGGUGGUGGUGCAUGGCCGUUCUUAGUUGGUGGAGCGAUUUGUCUGGUUAAUUCCGAUAACGAACGAGACUCUAGCCUGCUAACUAGGCGAUUUCCGGUACCCACAAUAGUGUUACCGGCGAUACAAUUUCUUCUUAGAGGGACAGGCGGCUCCUAGCCGCACGAGACUGAGCAAUAACAGGUCUGUGAUGCCCUUAGAUGUCCUGGGCCGCACGCGCGCUACACUGAAGGAAUCAGCGUGUCUUCCCUGGCCGACAGGCCCGGGUAACCCGUUGAACCUCCUUCGUGCUAGGGAUUGGGGCUUGCAAUUGUUCCCCAUGAACGAGGAAUUCCCAGUAAGCGCGAGUCAUAAGCUCGCGUUGAUUACGUCCCUGCCCUUUGUACACACCGCCCGUCGCUACUACCGAUUGAAUGAUUUAGUGAGGUCUUCGGACUGGUGCGCGGCGAUCGGUUCUACCGGCCGCCGAUGUUGCCGGAAAGAUGACCAAACUUGAUCAUUUAGAGGAAGUAAAAGUCGUAACAAGGUUUCC